UCGGGAAUUUUGGGCAAUGGGGGAAACCCUGACCCAGCAACGCCGCGUGAAGGAUGAAGUAUUUCGGUAUGUAAACUUCGAAAGAAUAGGAAGAAUAAAUGACGGUACUAUUUGUAAGGUCCGGCUAACUACGUGCCAGCAGCCGCGGUAAUACGUAGGGACCAAGCGUUGUUCGGAUUUACUGGGCGUAAAGGGCGCGUAGGCGGUUUGUCAAGUCAGUUGUGAAAUCUCCGAGCUUAACUCGGAACGGUCAGAUGAUACUGCUUUGCUAGAGUGCAGAAGGGGCAAUCGGAAUUCUUGGUGUAGCGGUGAAAUGCGUAGAUAUCAAGAGGAACACCUGAGGUGAAGACGGGUUGCUGGGCUGACACUGACGCUGAGGCGCGAAAGCCAGGGGAGCAAA
This 400-nucleotide ribosomal RNA is filed under the name uncultured bacterium. RNAcentral's name for it is "bacterial SSU rRNA". It matches the Rfam family "Bacterial small subunit ribosomal RNA", at positions 355 to 772 of the family's 1533-position model. The record is from RNAcentral.